AUGCAUGGACUCGAGUUACAAGAGGAGAAGACUAGCAAGCAGGACAGCAAACAGGUCUCGAAUAUUCGGUUGUUCCUCUGCUCUGCACGAGGCACCGCAGGAAGCAGAGCCGGGACGAUACCACCGCUCUGCUUCUGUCGAGAGCGCAGCGCCAUGCCUUCCCCUCCCCUGUCCGCCGUCAUCAUCCUCAGCGACAGCGACGACGACGACGACGCGGCCGCCCUCUUGGUGACCGCCGCGGAGCGCUUCACCUCGUCCCUGACCACCCAGGCCGAAGUCGAGGCCCUCUGCGAGAAGCACGGCGUCCCGGGGGAGCUCGCCGCGAGCCCCGCCGGCGACCGGCGCGCGUGCUCGCCGCCGCCGGAGGGGGGCGUCUGCGUGUACGCGCACGCGCUGGAGGCCGGGGUGCGCUUCCCGCUCCACGACUUCUUCUGCAAGACGCUCUCCCACUUCGACCUCGCGCCCGGCCAGCUCACGCCCGACGGGUGGCGCGUCCUGGUCGGCUUCUUGGCCCUCUGCCACGACGCCUCCGUGCCGCCGUCGGUCGCCGUGUUCCGUCAUUUCUUCUCGCUCCGAAGCAGGAAGGGCUGGUACUGCUUCCGGUGCAAGGAAGGUGCCGGCGCGCUGGUUACUGGCCUGGGCAGUUCCGAAUCCGACGGGGAGUAG
RNAcentral lists this ribosomal RNA (666 nucleotides) under Triticum aestivum (bread wheat). Its description in RNAcentral is "partial small subunit ribosomal RNA". Lineage: Eukaryota; Viridiplantae; Streptophyta; Magnoliopsida; Poales; Poaceae. The record is from RNAcentral.